Molecule: ribosomal RNA, 541 nt
Filed under: Trichoderma harzianum
Lineage: Eukaryota; Fungi; Ascomycota; Sordariomycetes; Hypocreales; Hypocreaceae
Description: eukaryotic LSU rRNA
Rfam family: 5.8S ribosomal RNA (bases 154-307)
Source: RNAcentral
CUCGGCGGGAUCUCUGCCCCGGGUGCGCCCCAGCCCCGGACCAAGGCGCCCGCCGGAGGACCAACCAAAACUCUUAUUGUAUACCCCCUCGCGGGUUUUUUUAUAAUCUGAGCCUUCUCGGCGCCUCUCGUAGGCGUUUCGAAAAUGAAUCAAAACUUUCAACAACGGAUCUCUUGGUUCUGGCAUCGAUGAAGAACGCAGCGAAAUGCGAUAAGUAAUGUGAAUUGCAGAAUUCAGUGAAUCAUCGAAUCUUUGAACGCACAUUGCGCCCGCCAGUAUUCUGGCGGGCAUGCCUGUCCGAGCGUCAUUUCAACCCUCGAACCCCUCCGGGGGGUCGGCGUUGGGGAUCGGCCCUGCCUUGGCGGUGGCCGUCUCCGAAAUACAGUGGCGGUCUCGCCGCAGCCUCUCCUGCGCAGUAGUUUGCACACUCGCAUCGGGAGCGCGGCGCGUCCACAGCCGUUAAACACCCAACUUCUGAAAUGUUGACCUCGGAUCAGGUAGGAAUACCCGCUGAACUUAAGCAUAUCAAUAAGCGGAGGAA